GAAAAUCGGGAACUGCCUGCGGGGAUACCGCCAGAGGUGUGAAAUUGUUGCUCCGGUGCAGGCUUUUACUGGAGUCCUCAGCAGUUCUGAUUCGAACUGCCAUCACGUCCCCGGAAAAUCCAGUCAUACCGGAUCCUACCGGACAGGAGGAGGCCAUUCGGUCUCUGUGCUGGCCCUUCGAAAGAAAUUAGCCCCGCUCUCUUUAGAGUGUUACCGCAAGAAAACAAAUCGCAGGCUGACAGAUGUGGACUUUGAUAAUAAAUUUACUUUGGACUUUGAACUUCUCCCAAGAGAAAAGUCAAGCAAUCAGUGUAAUGGGAGACCAUGUUCUCGUCACCCCUUUUGGAUGUGGUCAAAAACGCCCUGUACGUUCAUCGUCAGUCCUGUCAGAGCUCUGGGCUCUGGAAUCUGUGGGUCUGGACACAGGCAAGAAUGAGCUACAGCUACUAUUUGGAGAAGAAGAUCAAAGAGAUUAAAUGUUCAAAGGCUGAGGCUAAAGUUCAAGGCUCCAGAGGUCAUGAAAACGUGUGGAGAAUAUACUGGUUGGUUGCAUCACGGCCUGGUAUGGAGACACCAAUGCCCUUGGACAGAAAAGCCAACAAGGAGUUGUGGAUACAGCCCAAUCUGUCACGAGUAAAGCCUUCCCCACCAUG
Mobula hypostoma (lesser devil ray) is the source of this 653-nucleotide long non-coding RNA. RefSeq lists it as uncharacterized. The transcript is spliced from 3 exons. The record is from RefSeq and is a predicted model, not a curated record. NCBI's taxonomy places the organism in Eukaryota, Metazoa, Chordata, Chondrichthyes, Myliobatiformes, Myliobatidae.